Molecule: non-coding RNA, 28 nt
Filed under: Rattus norvegicus (Norway rat)
Lineage: Eukaryota; Metazoa; Chordata; Mammalia; Rodentia; Muridae
Source: RNAcentral
AAGACCUGGUUUUGGUUAAAGAGCAAAC